CGCGUCUCCUUUCUGAUGGGUAUGACGGCUGCGUGGUCCCAUUUUGUUUAUACUUGCGUACUAUUGUUUGUACAGAUGAACGUGGUACUUUCAGAUGUUUGGAAAUUGCUCCCAAGGAUGAACCAGAUUUGUGGAGGUCUACAAUUUUUUCUGAGGUCUUGGCUGUUUUCUUUUGAUUUCCCCAUGAUUUCAAGCAAAGAGGCACUGAGUUUGAAGGUAGCCUUGAAAUACAUCCACAGUGCUCAGCAUAUGUGGGAACUCCUUCAAGACUGUUGCAAAAGCAUUGCAGAUCCCAUUGUCAUGAGAAGGCGCAGGGAGGACGGAAGCGAGCGGUAGCAGCAUCAGGCAUCCACUCAAGGACUACAGGCGUGAUGGAAUCAAGGAGAUAAUCGGCGC
This 396-nucleotide long non-coding RNA is filed under the name Salmo salar (Atlantic salmon). RNAcentral describes it as "lncRNA (ENSSSAG00000091763.1, ENSSSAG00020081509.1, ENSSSAG00075064268.1)". The record is from RNAcentral. Lineage: Eukaryota; Metazoa; Chordata; Actinopteri; Salmoniformes; Salmonidae.